This 499-nucleotide ribosomal RNA is filed under the name uncultured bacterium. Its description in RNAcentral is "bacterial SSU rRNA". It matches the Rfam family "Bacterial small subunit ribosomal RNA", at positions 28 to 517 of the family's 1533-position model. The record is from RNAcentral.
GAUGAACGCUAGCUACAGGCUUAACACAUGCAAGUCGAGGGGCAGCAUGGUCUUAGCUUGCUAAGGCCGAUGGCGACCGGCGCACGGGUGAGUAACGCGUAUCCAACCUGCCUUACACUCUUGGACAGCCUUCUGAAAGGGAGAUUAAUACAAGAUGUUAUCAUGAGUAAGCAUUUUCGCAUGAUUAAAGGUUUACCGGUGUAAGAUGGGGAUGCGUUCCAUUAGAUAGUAGGCGGGGUAACGGCCCACCUAGUCUUCGAUGGAUAGGGGUUCUGAGAGGAAGGUCCCCCACAUUGGAACUGAGACACGGUCCAAACUCCUACGGGAGGCAGCAGUGAGGAAUAUUGGUCAAUGGACGAGAGUCUGAACCAGCCAAGUAGCGUGAAGGAUGAAGGUCCUACGGAUUGUAAACUCUUUUAUAAGGGAAUAAACCCUCCCACGUGUGGGAGCUUGUAUGUACCUUAUGAAUAAGCAUCGGCUAACUCCGUGCCAGCAGCCG